GCGAGUAUAGUUUAAUGGCAGAACUUCAGUAGCUUCCAAGCUGACUAUGAGGGUUCGAUUCCCUUUACUCGCUCCA
RNAcentral lists this transfer RNA (76 nucleotides) under Mycoplasmopsis felis. RNAcentral describes it as "tRNA-OTHER". It matches the Rfam family "tRNA". From Rfam's summary of the family: Transfer RNA (tRNA) molecules are approximately 80 nucleotides in length. Their secondary structure includes four short double-helical elements and three loops (D, anti-codon, and T loops). Lineage: Bacteria; Bacillati; Mycoplasmatota; Mycoplasmoidales; Metamycoplasmataceae. The record is from RNAcentral.